RNAcentral lists this ribosomal RNA (250 nucleotides) under uncultured prokaryote. RNAcentral's name for it is "partial 16S ribosomal RNA". It matches the Rfam family "Bacterial small subunit ribosomal RNA", at positions 524 to 772 of the family's 1533-position model. The record is from RNAcentral.
UACGUAGGGAGCAAGCGUUAUCCGGAAUUAUUGGGUGUAAAGAGUGCGUAGACGGGGAAGCAAGUUGGUCUGUGAAAUCCCUCGGCUUAACUGAGGAACUGCAACCAAAACUACUACUCUUGAGUGCUGGAGAGGAAAGUGGAAUUCCUAGUGUAGCGGUGAAAUGCGUAGAUAUUAGGAGGAACACCAGUGGCGAAGGCGACUUUCUGGACAGUAACUGACGUUGAGGCACGAAAGCGUGGGGAGCAAA